ACCGGUUCUUCAAAUUUCAGGGUCCUCUCUUUCAGCAGCGUCCAUACCCAUCUCCUGGAGCAGUCUUACGUAGGAAUGCUGAAAUUGCCUCUCAAAAGAAAAAUCCUAAAUCGCAUCUUACCCCUAUAUCUAAGAGAGGUGAUGGUAAGGAUGGACUGGGUGAUGCUGAUUGAAGAAUUUAAGCCUUCAUGUUAUAUUAUUUGCUUAAAGAGGAUUCACAGAGGGAGUUUCUCCAGUUGAAGUUGCUAGACAACAAGGCGCUAAACAUUAUUACACACAUUCUAUCGUAAAUUUGUAGCUAAAACGCUAGUGUGUAUUCUUUUUAUCUUUUAUUUUUUUGUUAGAGACUUCCAAAACUUUAGAAACAGGGACUAUCUUAGGAGCAUAGACCAGCCGCUGUAUAGAAGCUGUUAGUUGUAACCUCUUAUAUAUGAUUGGCAUAUGAUUUUUGUAACGAGCGGAUGAGUAGAGAAAGACUUGUCCUGAAGUGGAGUCAACUUGAAGUCUCUACUAAAGUCUGCACGCUGUUGCAGGAUCAGGAACUGAGUUUUUAUUUCUCUUAUCUAAUUCGUUUCACUA
This is a non-coding RNA of Nicotiana tabacum (common tobacco), 579 nucleotides long. The record is from RefSeq and is a predicted model, not a curated record. NCBI's taxonomy places the organism in Eukaryota, Viridiplantae, Streptophyta, Magnoliopsida, Solanales, Solanaceae.